Long non-coding RNA from Rattus norvegicus (Norway rat), 2625 nucleotides. RefSeq lists it as uncharacterized. Lineage: Eukaryota; Metazoa; Chordata; Mammalia; Rodentia; Muridae. The record is from RefSeq and is a predicted model, not a curated record.
GGGUGGGGGUAAUCUUCACACUACCUGUCCACACAGGGUGAGGAAAGAGGGCAGAUGCUAUUACGAAGUAGCCAGGUCCCCGGAAAAAGCUGCUGGCUUAGGGGAAUGAGAUAUGUAUGGCUACUCCCCAGAGAAAUCCACGAUCAAGAUAUCACAGCUGUGUGAAGUCUGUGGCAUAGCACAGCAUUGGUCAUGUGACCCUGGGUGGGUCCUUUCCCAUCCUUUCAGCCUAGGCAUCCUCCACCUCCGAAGGACAGAGAGACUGUGGCUUUCCCUCCCACUACGACUAGUCUUUGGGUUGGGCGAGCUGAAAGACAUUGAAGGCACACAGAACUUCCGGAACAUUCCUCCUCGUCCAACAACAAACGCUCUUUGAACUCCUAGCCAGGCAUGCCCUCAUGGCCACUGUUUCUUCCAGCACUUAGUGUUACUAAGGGAGUGAUCAUGUCUCUAAGACUCCCAAACAAACAAGCUGCUGUGCACUGCCUGCUCUGUCAGGUAGCUCCAGAACUGAAAUACCUGCUGGCGAAAAGGGCGUCAUUUCUCACGCCGUUCUCCUUACGGUAGUCCCAGAGCUGUUUCUUGUUCCUUCCACUGGGGAGUUAGUCUCUGCUGUUCUACUUCUCUCCCCUGUUGGGACCUAACAUCACCCUAGAGAUUUCCCAUCUGUCGGGAGCUUCCUCUGUGACUUUGAGUAGACGAAGUUAUGACAUGGCUUUGGAGCAUAGGUUGGCAAACUUUCCCUGUGAAGGGACAGAUAGUAACUAUUUAGGCUCUGUGGGCCAUAUGGUCCCUGUUGCAACGCUCAGCUCUGCUGUAACAGUGGGAAAGCUGCCACACACAACAUGCAAACAGAUGAAUGUGGCCUCGUGCCAAUAAAACUUUAUUUAUAAAAACAGGCAGUGGGCCAGAUUCGACCCCUGGGCUACAGCAUGCCAAUUCCUACCCUGGAACAUUUGGCUAGCCUCGGGAGGGCCCACUUUUCCUUAGCGGAGGAAUAAGGAUCAACCUCACACCUAUGGUCACGCAGUCCUUCAAGGCACUUUCCUCAAGUCACAGGCUCUGUCCUUCAGGACUAUUGGCCGUAGGCCAGGUGUGGCUCAUUCACAGUGACCCUCAUGUUAGCCUUUGGAAUGUGGUCCUUAGGAGGUUGAGGCCCAGGCAACUCACUCAGCUACGGUGUAUGAAGGGAGGAGGUCCCCUUUUCAUGAAUUUACUAACUCCAGACCUCUCCAGUAAAUCCUGAAUCCACAGUCAGAAGCGGCUGGGGUGACAGGAUGCUGUGGCGAGAUGCCCGAGGAUCAGAAGGUAAGUCUAUCCCCAUGUUUCGGGACCCUGAGGCCUCAGGUAGCUCCACACAGGUCAGUUUACUCCUCAGUGUGGAAUGGCACAGUCACCUGCUGGCUCCUGGAGCUUCAGUGGGGAUCGGAUAUCGUCAGAGGGAGAUAAAAACUCAGAAACUCAUUAAUGGUGACUGUGGCUCCUUGCAAUGUUAGGAUUCCGAAGGCUUUCUAGAAAACACGAUUCUUUACAAGUAAUCGCCCUUUCGGGGGUUUAUCCGCAUGCCGCAGAGGCAAUCUGGAUUAAACCUUAGCUUUUGUCUUUAUACCUAAUGAAAAGCGGGCCUAAAACGCAUCCAAAGUGACAAGUGUUGAAUUAGAGCAUUUUGAGGUUUGCUUUCUUGGGAAUAAAUAUAGGACUUUUAAAAACAUCAGUGUCUUCUCCCUGAUGUAUUUUUAAGUUAAAAGAAAAAAAACCCUUUUUAAAAAAAUUUUUUGACAUAUUCUCAAUUCUUAAGAGGUUAGAGCUGAUAUGAAUGGCCAGUGUUUCUUGGCUCUGCUAUACACUUAGAAAUAAAACAAGCCUUCUUUCUUCCUGAUGGGAGCCCGCGAGUUGAUCGUCUCUGUUUUAUGAGAAGGAAAGGGAAGCAUUUAUAAGCCCAGCAAUGUGCUCAAUGGGGCAUCGGAAUACUUGGUCCCUCGUUGGUGGCUGUAGGGGGAGGCUUAGGAGGGAUGGUUCUGCUGAGGAAAUACAUCACUUGGGAUGGGCUUUGAGGUUUCCAAAGACUUGUGCCAUUUGCAGUUCACUCUCCCUGCUUCCUGUUUGCUACUGCAGAUGCGAGCCCUCAGCUCCCAGUUUCCGGUUCUGGUUGCCAUGCUGCUUAUCUGCUGCCACACUUCCCUGUUAGGAUGGUGGAGGACUCUUAUCCCUCUGGAACCGUAAGCCCCAAAUCUUCCUCCCGGGACCCCAAACCUACCUAAGACAACCGUAUUGAAGGAGACCAUCUCCUUGUCCUUGCCGUCAUUGUAGAAGGCGAGGUGCCACAGGCCCACAUCCAAGUACUGCACGAACACAGCCUCGUUCUGCACCAGGGUCUGGAUGCUCCGGCGUUCCCUGGGUGACUCGACCACACUCCACUUCUCCUUUCCGUCCAGGCGUUCCAUGAAGUCAUACUGUGGAGCGAGAGAGAGAGACAGGGCAAUGUGUAGAGCAAGUUCUGGACCUGUACCCUCAGGCAGCACUGCCAUCCUGCACAUCGGCCGAUGGAGAAGUACUUUUCACUACGCCCGUGUAAAAUAAAGUAAGCCGGAUAUGUUGCGGUCACAGCUAUCGGCUACCAUCCAU